UACGAAGGGUGCGAGCGUUGUCCGGAAUUAUUGGGCGUAAAGGGCUCGUAGGCGGUCUGUCGCGUCGGUAGUGAAAACUCAGGGCUUAACCCUGAGCCUGCUUCCGAUACGGGCAGACUAGAGGUAUGCAGGGGAGAAUGGAAUUCCUGGUGUAGCGGUGAAAUGCGUAGAUAUCAGGAGGAACACCGGUGGCGAAGGCGGGAUCCUGGGCCAGUACUGACGCUGAGGAGCGAAAGCGUGGGGAGCAAACAGG
This 253-nucleotide ribosomal RNA is filed under the name uncultured bacterium. Its description in RNAcentral is "partial 16S ribosomal RNA". It matches the Rfam family "Bacterial small subunit ribosomal RNA", at positions 524 to 776 of the family's 1533-position model. The record is from RNAcentral.